RNAcentral lists this ribosomal RNA (468 nucleotides) under uncultured bacterium. Its description in RNAcentral is "partial 16S ribosomal RNA". It matches the Rfam family "Bacterial small subunit ribosomal RNA", at positions 28 to 507 of the family's 1533-position model. The record is from RNAcentral.
GACGAACGCUGGCGGCGUGCUUAACACAUGCAAGUCGAACGGAAAGGCCCUGCUUUUGUGGGGUGCUCGAGUGGCGAACGGGUGAGUAACACGUGAGUAACCUGCCCUUGACUUUGGUAUAACUUCAGGAAACUGGGGCUAAUACCGGAUAGGAGCUCCUGCUGCAUGGUGGGGGUUGGAAAGUUUCGGCGGUUGGGGAUGGACUCGCGGCUUAUCAGCUUGUUGGUGGGGUAGUGGCUUACCAAGGCUUUGACGGGUAGCCGGCCUGAGAGGGUGACCGGCCACAUUGGGACUGCGAUACGGCCCAGACUCCUACGGGAGGCAGCAGUGGGGAAUAUUGCACAAUGGGCGGAAGCCUGAUGCAGCAACGCCGCGUGCGGGAUGACGGCCUUCGGGUUGUAAACCGCUUUCGCCUGUGACGAAGCGUGAGUGACGGUAAUGGGUAAAGAAGCACCGGCUAACUACGUG